AGAGUUGAUCCUGGCUUAGGACGAACGCUGGCGGCGUGCCUAACACAUGCAAGUCGAGCGGGGACAUUGCGACGGAGACGAAGUACUCGUACGGAGUCAAAGAUGUAAUGUUCUAGCGGCGGACGGGUGAGUAACGCGUGAGCAACCUGUCCUUACAGGGGGAUAACACAGCGAAAGUUGUACUAAUACCGCAUAAGACCACAGGAUGACAUCGUCCAGGGGUCAAAGGAGCAAUCCGGUAAGGGGUGGGCUCGCGUCCGAUUAGAUAGUUGGUGAGGUAACGGCCCACCAAGUCGACGAUCGGUAGCCGACCUGAGAGGGUGAUCGGCCACAUUGGGACUGAGACACGGCCCAAACUCCUACGGGAGGCAGCAGUGGGGAAUAUUGGGCAAUGGGGGGAAACCCUGACCCAGCAACGCCGCGUGAGGGAAGAAGGUUUUCGGAUCGUAAACCUCUGUCCCAGGUGAAGAGGAAGAGACGGUAGCCUGGGAGGAAGCCCCGGCUAACUACGUGCCAGCCGCCGC
RNAcentral lists this ribosomal RNA (524 nucleotides) under uncultured bacterium. RNAcentral describes it as "bacterial SSU rRNA". It matches the Rfam family "Bacterial small subunit ribosomal RNA", at positions 8 to 518 of the family's 1533-position model. The record is from RNAcentral.